RNAcentral lists this transfer RNA (88 nucleotides) under Armatimonadota bacterium. RNAcentral's name for it is "Armatimonadetes bacterium (anaerobic digester metagenome) tRNA-Ser". It matches the Rfam family "tRNA". From Rfam's summary of the family: Transfer RNA (tRNA) molecules are approximately 80 nucleotides in length. The record is from RNAcentral. Lineage: Bacteria; Bacillati; Armatimonadota.
GGAGAGUUGCCCGAGCGGUUUAAGGGAACGGUCUUGAAAACCGUCGUGGCCAAAACCACCGUGGGUUCGAAUCCCACACUCUCCGCCA